RNAcentral lists this ribosomal RNA (253 nucleotides) under uncultured bacterium. RNAcentral's name for it is "partial 16S ribosomal RNA". It matches the Rfam family "Bacterial small subunit ribosomal RNA", at positions 524 to 776 of the family's 1533-position model. The record is from RNAcentral.
GACGAAGGGGGCUAGCGUUGUUCGGAAUUACUGGGCGUAAAGCGCGUGUAGGUGGUUGUCAUAGUCAGGUGUGAAAGCCUUGAGCUCAACUCAAGAAAUGCACUUGAUACUGGGCGACUAGAGGACCGGAGAGGAUAGUGGAAUUCCCAGUGUAGUGGUGAAAUACGUAGAGAUUGGGAAGAACACCAGUGGCGAAGGCGGCUAUCUGGACGGUUUCUGACACUAAGACUCGAAAGCGUGGGGAGCAAACAGG